UACGUAGGCAGCAAGCGUUGUUCGGAAUUACUGGGCGUAAAGAGUGUGUAGGCGGUUUUCUAAGUUUGGUGUGAAAUCUCCCGGCUUAACUGGGAGGGUGCGCCGAAAACUGGAAGGCUUGAGUGCCGGAGAGGAUAGCGGGAUUCCCGGUGUAGCGGUGAAAUGCGUAGAUAUCGGGAGGAACACCUGUGGUGUAGACGGCUAUCUGGACGGCGACUGACGCUGAGACGCGAAAGCGUGGGGAGCGAACAGG
This 253-nucleotide ribosomal RNA is filed under the name uncultured prokaryote. RNAcentral's name for it is "partial 16S ribosomal RNA". It matches the Rfam family "Bacterial small subunit ribosomal RNA", at positions 524 to 776 of the family's 1533-position model. The record is from RNAcentral.